UACGUAGGGUGCGAGCGUUAAUCGGAAUUACUGGGCGUAAAGCGUGCGCAGGCGGUUCGUUGUGUCGGCGGUGAAAGCCCCGGGCUUAACCUGGGAAUGGCCGUCGAAACUGGCGAACUGGAGUGUGGCAGAGGGGGGUGGAAUUCCGCGUGUAGCAGUGAAAUGCGUAGAGAUGCGGAGGAACACCGAUGGCGAAGGCAGGUCUCUGGGCUGAUACUGACGCUCAUGCACGAAAGCGUGGGGAGCAAACAGG
RNAcentral lists this ribosomal RNA (253 nucleotides) under uncultured bacterium. RNAcentral's name for it is "partial 16S ribosomal RNA". It matches the Rfam family "Bacterial small subunit ribosomal RNA", at positions 524 to 776 of the family's 1533-position model. The record is from RNAcentral.